AUCGUUGAGUGCAAAUGAAGGCGAUCUUCUGUGAGCAACUUUCAUAUAUUCGCGUAACCUUACUGGAAAACUAACAUCUCUAAGUUGAAGAAGAUAGGUAUCUGGUCCAUAUUGGUAGCUGCAAUUAAGAAUAAUACACUCGUUAUAUCUUACAUUUAUAUUUCGUAUUCAUAUGUGUACUGAAUGAAAAAAAGGCUGGUACCGAGGUAAAAAAAGAACAAUAAAGUUUGCAGUGUCAAGAGUUUGAAUAGAACCAGGUGAUCAUUACUCACAUUGAAUAGUUAAUCCACUCAAGAGAAAAAAUUCAAAGAAAUCAUUUUAUGCUGAUCUGCCAUCGAUAUCCACAUACAGAAAAAAAUCUUGUACCUUUGAUGGAAAAUCAACAACUCUCUCAGAACAGCCAUCCAUCACAGAUGACGAGCUGAUCACUGACACGAUUUUGAAUUUCCUUAUCAGCGAGAUACAUUUAAAGGUACAAUAUUAUGGGACGUUACCAAGGAAAGUAUACUGUAAGCAUGAUAAUGAUGGCAUUAUAUAAUAUAAUAUUAUAUUUGGGUGUUAAUAAUAUAAAAUUCUACGGAAUAUGACAGGAAAAGUAAAACUGUUAAUUCUUAAACAUUUAGAUUCAAUUUUAAAAUGUCUACUGUAAGAAUGAUCCUAAAUGGAUGAUGGGUAUCUUUUAAUAAAUUAUUUUUAAGUAAAAA
Bactrocera oleae (olive fruit fly) is the source of this 704-nucleotide long non-coding RNA. RefSeq lists it as uncharacterized. The record is from RefSeq and is a predicted model, not a curated record. NCBI's taxonomy places the organism in Eukaryota, Metazoa, Arthropoda, Insecta, Diptera, Tephritidae.